RNAcentral lists this ribosomal RNA (482 nucleotides) under uncultured bacterium. Its description in RNAcentral is "partial 16S ribosomal RNA". It matches the Rfam family "Bacterial small subunit ribosomal RNA", at positions 30 to 507 of the family's 1533-position model. The record is from RNAcentral.
AUUGAACGCUGGCGGCAUGCUUUACACAUGCAAGUCGAACGGUAACAGGCCGCAAGGUGCUGACGAGUGGCGAACGGGUGAGUAAUGCAUCGGAACGUGCCCAGUCGUGGGGGAUAACUACUCGAAAGAGUAGCUAAUACCGCAUACGAUCUAUGGGUGAAAGCGGGGGACCGUAAGGCCUCGCGCGAUUGGAGCGGCCGAUGUCAGAUUAGGUAGUUGGUGGGGUAAAGGCUCACCAAGCCAACGAUCUGUAGCUGGUCUGAGAGGACAACCAGCCACACUGGGACUGAGACACGGCCCAGACUCCUACGGGAGGCAGCAGUGGGGAAUUUUGGACAAUGGGCGCAAGCCUGAUCCAGCAAUGCCGCGUGCAGGAAGAAGGCCUUCGGGUUGUAAACUGCUUUUGUACGGAACGAAACGGCUCUGGUUAAUACCCGGGGCUAAUGACGGUACCGUAAGAAUAAGCACCGGCUAACUACGUG